RNAcentral lists this ribosomal RNA (422 nucleotides) under uncultured bacterium. RNAcentral's name for it is "bacterial SSU rRNA". It matches the Rfam family "Bacterial small subunit ribosomal RNA", at positions 355 to 774 of the family's 1533-position model. The record is from RNAcentral.
UAAGGAAUAUUGGUCAAUGGACGCAAGUAUGAACCAGCCAUGCCGCGUGAAGGAUUAAGGCCCUCUGGGUUGUAAACUUCUUUUAUAGGGGAAGAAAUGUGACGGUUCUCCGUCACUUGACGGUACCCUGGGAAUAAGCACCGGCUAACUCCGUGCCAGCAGCCGCGGUAAUACGGAGGGUGCAAGCGUUAUACGGAUUCACUGGGGUUAAAGGGUGCGUAGGUGGGCAGAUAAGUCAGUGGUGAAAUCUUCCGGCUUAACCGGGGAACUGCCGUUGAUACUAUUUGUCUUGAAUAUUGCGGAGGUAAGCGGAAUAUGUCAUGUAGCGGUGAAAAGCUUAGAUAUUACAUAGAACACCAAUUGCGAAGGCAGCUUACUACACAAUCAUUGACACUGAGGCACGAAAGCGUGGGUAGCGAACA